GGACGCGUGCCUGAAUAUUAAGGAUUACUUUGAUAGAGUACCCCACGGGGGUUAAAAUCCCCUCGCCUCC
This 70-nucleotide transfer RNA is filed under the name Carphodactylus laevis. Its description in RNAcentral is "tRNA-Ile". It matches the Rfam family "tRNA". From Rfam's summary of the family: Transfer RNA (tRNA) molecules are approximately 80 nucleotides in length. Their secondary structure includes four short double-helical elements and three loops (D, anti-codon, and T loops). The record is from RNAcentral. Lineage: Eukaryota; Metazoa; Chordata; Lepidosauria; Squamata; Carphodactylidae.